UGGGGAAUAUUGGGCAAUGGGCGCAAGCCUGACCCAGCAACGCCGCGUGAAGGAAGAAGGCUUUCGGGUUGUAAACUUCUUUUAUCAGGGACGAAGGAUGUGACGGUACCUGAUGAAUAAGCCACGGCUAACUACGUGCCAGCAGCCGCGGUAAUACGUAGGUGGCAAGCGUUGUCCGGAUUUACUGGGUGUAAAGGGCGUGUAGGCGGGUCUGCAAGUCAGAUGUGAAAACUAUGGGCUUAACCCAUAGCCUGCAUUUGAAACUGUAGGUCUUGAGUACUGGAGAGGCAGGCGGAAUUCCUCGUGUAGCGGUGAAAUGCGUAGAUAUGAGGAGGAACACCAGUGGCGAAGGCGGCCUGCUGGACAGCAACUGACGCUGAGGCGCGAAAGCGUGGGGAGCAAACAGG
RNAcentral lists this ribosomal RNA (407 nucleotides) under uncultured prokaryote. RNAcentral's name for it is "bacterial SSU rRNA". It matches the Rfam family "Bacterial small subunit ribosomal RNA", at positions 355 to 776 of the family's 1533-position model. RNAcentral also lists the same sequence under 1 other name. The record is from RNAcentral.